GAUGAAGAACGCAGCGAAAUGCGAUACUUGGUGUGAAUUGCAGAAUCCCGUGAACCAUCGAGUCUUUGAACGCAAGUUGCGCCCGAAGCCACUAGGCCGAGGGCACGCCUGCCUGGGCGUCACACGUCGUUGCCCCCCACCAUCUACUCCUUCGGGAUCGCGGGGGGCGGAUGAUGGCCUCCCGUGCGCCUAGCCGCGCGGUUGGCAUAAAUACCAAGUCCUCGGCGACGCACGCCACGACAAUCGGUGGUUGCGAAACCUCGGUUGCCCGUCGUGUGCGUUCGUCGCGCAUCGAGGGCUCGAAAAAAUGCUCGGCUCCGGCUCGGCUUUCAACGCGACCCCAGGUCAGGCGGGGUUACCCGCUGAAUUUAAGCAUAUCAAUAAGCGGAGGA
RNAcentral lists this unclassified non-coding RNA (392 nucleotides) under soil metagenome. RNAcentral describes it as "partial contains 5.8S ribosomal RNA, internal transcribed spacer 2, and large subunit ribosomal RNA". The stretch from base 1 to 122 matches the Rfam family "5.8S ribosomal RNA", at positions 35 to 154 of the family's 154-position model. The record is from RNAcentral.